GGGCCCGCACAAGCGGUGGAGCAUGUGGUUUAAUUCGAUGAUACGCGAGGAACCUUACCAGGGCUUAAAUGUAAGUUGCAUAGAUCAGAGAUGGUCUUUUCUUCGGACUACUUACAAGGUGCUGCAUGGUUGUCGUCAGCUCGUGCCGUGAGGUGUCAGGUUAAGUCCUAUAACGAGCGCAACCCCUGUCGUUAGUUACCAGCAAGUAAUGUUGGGUACUCUAGCGAGACUGCCGGUGCAAACCGUGAGGAAGGUGGGGAUGACGUCAAAUCAUCACGGCCCUUACGUCCUGGGCUACACACGUGCUACAAUGGCCGGUACAGAGAGCAGCCACUACGCGAGUAGGAGCGAAUCUUCAAAGCCGGUCUCAGUUCGGAUCGCAGUCUGCAACUCGACUGCGUGAAGCUGGAAUCGCUAGUAAUCGG
Molecule: ribosomal RNA, 425 nt
Filed under: uncultured bacterium
Lineage: Bacteria
Description: bacterial SSU rRNA
Rfam family: Bacterial small subunit ribosomal RNA
Source: RNAcentral